ACGCUAUCACUCCUACGGGAGGCAGCAGUGGGGAAUCUUGCGCAAUGGGCGGAAGCCUGACGCAGCAACGCCGCGUGAGGGAUGACGGCCUUCGGGUUGUAAACCUCUUUCGCGAUCGACGAAGGUCAUGCUUUUGGCAUGGCUGACGGUAGGUCGAGAAGAAGCACCGGCCAACUACGUGCCAGCAGCCGCGGUAAUACGUAGGGUGCGAGCGUUGUCCGGAAUUAUUGGGCGUAAAGAGCUCGUAGGCGGUGUGUCGCGUCGGCCGUGAAAACCUGGGGCUUAACUCUGGGCGUGCGGUCGAUACGGGCAUCACUAGAGUUCGGCAGGGGAGACUGGAAUUCCUGGUGUAGCGGUGAAAUGCGCAGAUAUCAGGAGGAACACCGGUGGCGAAGGCGGGUCUCUGGGCCGAUACUGACGCUGAGGAGCGAAAGCAUGGGUAGCGAACAGGAUUAGAUACCCUGGUAG
This 468-nucleotide ribosomal RNA is filed under the name uncultured bacterium. RNAcentral describes it as "bacterial SSU rRNA". It matches the Rfam family "Bacterial small subunit ribosomal RNA", at positions 326 to 793 of the family's 1533-position model. The record is from RNAcentral.